GCUUAUGUGGUGCUGAGGGCCGCAUGCAUGCAAGGCAAGCGCUCUACCAUUGAGCCACAUUCCCAGCCCAACUGCAGUUGUUUUAUUUCAAAGCCUGGAGACAGCUGGAGGGGGCACAUGAUGUGACCCUGCCAGUCUGAGAGUUGGUGGCUAGAAGACUUACAUAGCAGUGGAAAGGAUGCAGCCAACAUGAGGUGGCGUUACUUGGCUUCAACUUUAUUACACAGUGUAUAACAAAGACGUAAAAACCAAAUCUAUUUUGACUUAUAGUCACUAUUGGAUUUUAAAGAUGAAUUUAAAAAACAAGCUAUUACAUGUUCCUUGGAAAAAAUAACAUGUAAAUAAAAUUGGAUCAUGUUCUUAUAAAAUUG
Dipodomys ordii (Ord's kangaroo rat) is the source of this 371-nucleotide long non-coding RNA. RefSeq lists it as uncharacterized. The record is from RefSeq and is a predicted model, not a curated record. NCBI's taxonomy places the organism in Eukaryota, Metazoa, Chordata, Mammalia, Rodentia, Heteromyidae. The transcript has 2 exons.